This 767-nucleotide ribosomal RNA is filed under the name uncultured bacterium. Its description in RNAcentral is "bacterial SSU rRNA". It matches the Rfam family "Bacterial small subunit ribosomal RNA", at positions 28 to 808 of the family's 1533-position model. The record is from RNAcentral.
GACGACCUUUGGCGGCGCGCCUAACACAUGCAAGUCGAACGAGCGAGAGAGAGCUUGCUUUCUCGAGCGAGUGGCGAACGGGUGAGUAACGCGUGAGGAACCUGCCUCAAAGAGGGGGACAACAGUUGGAAACGACUGCUAAUACCGCAUAAGCCCACGGGUCGGCAUCGACCAGAGGGAAAAGGAGCAAUCCGCUUUGAGAUGGCCUCGCGUCCGAUUAGCUGGUUGGUGAGGUAACGGCCCACCAAGGCGACGAUCGGUAGCCGGACUGAGAGGUUGAACGGCCACAUUGGGACUGAGACACGGCCCAGACUCCUACGGGAGGCAGCAGUGGGGAAUAUUGCACAAUGGGGGAAACCCUGAUGCAGCGACGCCGCGUGGAGGAAGAAGGUCUUCGGAUUGUAAACUCCUGUUGUUGGGGAAGAUAAUGACGGUACCCAACAAGGAAGUGACGGCUAACUACGUGCCAGCAGCCGCGGUAAAACGUAGGUCACAAGCGUUGUCCGGAAUUACUGGGUGUAAAGGGAGCGCAGGCGGGAAGACAAGUUGGAAGUGAAAUCUAUGGGCUCAACCCAUAAACUGCUUUCAAAACUGUUUUUCUUGAGUAGUGCAGAGGUAGGCGGAAUUCCCGGUGUAGCGGUGGAAUGCGUAGAUAUCGGGAGGAACACCAGUGGCGAAGGCGGCCUACUGGGCACCAACUGACGCUGAGGCUCGAAAGUGUGGGUAGCAAACAGGAUUAGAUACCCUGGUAGUCCACACCGUAAACG